Hyaena hyaena (striped hyena) is the source of this 967-nucleotide long non-coding RNA. RefSeq lists it as uncharacterized. The transcript has 5 exons. NCBI's taxonomy places the organism in Eukaryota, Metazoa, Chordata, Mammalia, Carnivora, Hyaenidae. The record is from RefSeq and is a predicted model, not a curated record.
GUUGACAGCAGAGAAACUAAAAGAAAAGUCAGAUUUCAGGAACUCUCAGUCCUGGACCAGCGACACUGGCGCCCUCAGAGACUAUUAUUACUAUCCACAGCUUCCAUAGAUUUUAGAGUCCCCCCCCUCCCCUCCCCCCCACCGGCAUUGUCUCUUUUGAUCCUAUUGACAUAGACAAGAAUUCGGCUAAGCCUCCAGAGAUGAUGGGGAAGGAGAAGUCAGGCUGACAGAUGAAGGGAAGUUUCUAAAAGAGAAGGGGCUACAACCCAUUGUGACACCGGAGGGGGCGAAGAAGACUGUGCUGGAGGAAGGGAGGAAGGCCGAGUCCUCCAGAGGAGAGCCCAGGCCCCAGUCACCUUUCCGGUCCCAGACACGGCGCAGACCCUCCGCCAGGUGCUGCUCGGAUCAGACUUCAAAAAGUAAUGGUUUCUAUUUGCGGCCUUCGCUUUCUCAGCUUCUGCUCACUCUCCAGGCUCCUGACUGUGUCUGCUGUCCCCACAUAGACUCUUUGAGGCAUAAGCCCACCCACCAUCUCCUGGUCCUCCUCGAGCCCGGCGUGGACACCCCCUCUUUAAGUAACACUCCCUGACCUCCACAGGAGCUGAGAUGUCCCUUCUUGGUGUCUUCGGGGAAACGCUGGCCUCUCCUGGCCUCCCUGAUUCUCCCUCUUACUCUCUGACCAGUUUUUGUCUCCUGCGGGGCUUCUGUUCCAUCAGCUCUGAAGAAUGGGCUCUCCCCUAGCCCCGGGCUUCUGUCUUUGGACUGUGGUCCCUCGACUCCCUGCCCAUGCGGGACCUCACUCUCCCCAAAGCUUUAUUUACCACCCAAACUUCUAAGGACCCCCAGCCUUUAUUUCUGACCCUAAAUUCUCCCCUGACCUCUGGAUCCAUGUCUUACAUUUCCUGUAGGAUUUCUCUUUCUGGAUGUCCUUACAACCCUUCCAUCUUAGAAUAAAUAUAUAACUUGA